This is a long non-coding RNA of Aquila chrysaetos chrysaetos, 746 nucleotides long. RefSeq lists it as uncharacterized. The transcript has 2 exons. Lineage: Eukaryota; Metazoa; Chordata; Aves; Accipitriformes; Accipitridae. The record is from RefSeq and is a predicted model, not a curated record.
ACUGCACGAAGGCCGCGUCCUCGCUGCCCAGCCAGGCGGCCAGCAGGCUCUGCACCGUCAGCCCCGCCGAGCGCACCUCGUCGGGCGGGAAGACGAAGCAGACGGCGAACACCAGAGUGUUUUCUUCAGAGAAUCAUCAAGGCAGGGAUGCAAGACCUUAAAAGGCCUUAUUGAAGAUACCUUCGUACAAUCCCGAACACAGUGAAGGGAAAGGCCUGACUGGGGUCUCUGGUUACUACCGAAGUACAAAUAAUAACCAAUAGCCGCAAGAAUCGCCAUUUCUCUUAGAAUGCAACAAAAUCCCUGCUUGCGCCCUGUAAUAACCAUAAACUGACAUAUUUGUCCCUUUCACAGAAAGGGGAAAUUGCAUAAUUAGAAAAGCACUGCAGAGAAAGCAACAUGCCAUGUUACACGCUGCUACUGAUGGGGAGCUAAGUCAAUAGGAAAUGCCGCCCCCGGAAUGUGAACUCUUAUGCUGGCAGACGGCUAAUGUGUUACUGUUGUUGAUGGAGACCGGGAAUUCAUGGUGGUUUAGCGACUCUUAAGUAAGACAGUUGCAACAGUAAAAUUAUGCUUGGAUUAUGGGCAUCUUGUUUCAUUCUAAAAGGCACAACUGUUAGCAAGUUUAUUGAUUUAACAAUCAUUUCAUUGUUGCUGUCUCGUGACUCAACAGUAAAGACUUCUAAUUUGUGGAAUGGACUGUGAAGUUCCAUAAUAAAAAUGAGGCUGUGAAGCAGCAGGAUUUC